This 72-nucleotide transfer RNA is filed under the name Byrsotria fumigata. RNAcentral describes it as "tRNA-His". Lineage: Eukaryota; Metazoa; Arthropoda; Insecta; Blattodea; Blaberidae. RNAcentral also lists the same sequence under 1 other name. The record is from RNAcentral.
ACUUAAAUAGUUUAUAGUAAAAUAUUGAUUUGUGGGAUCAAGGAUGUAAUAGUAAAUAGAUUACUUUGGGUU